This 307-nucleotide long non-coding RNA is filed under the name Ananas comosus (pineapple). RNAcentral's name for it is "long non-coding RNA (ACOM_LNC034734)". Lineage: Eukaryota; Viridiplantae; Streptophyta; Magnoliopsida; Poales; Bromeliaceae. The record is from RNAcentral.
UGUCACGCCCUGCGACCAACCGCCUAUUUGGACCGGGUCGCGGCGCCGACGACAGACCGCCGAACGGACCGGGGAUUCCUUUGUACGCGGACAGAGUCUCCCCAGUACGUCCAAGGUGUCGCAAUCCAAACAAUCAACGAAUGUUCCAACUAGGAACGGAUAUCAAUCCAGAUUGCAUAAGGAAGUAUCAAAUACAUAAUCUACUUGCUAUUACAAGCAUUCAUUUCACAAUCACGUUAUACAUCACGGUUUCAGUUUAUAUUUUUACUUCCAAAUUACAAUCUUACUAUUACAUUAGAGUUAUCAA